AGGAAUCUGCCUAUUAGUGGGGGACAACAUCUCGAAAGGGAUGCUAAUACCGCAUACGUCCUACGGGAGAAAGCAGGGGACCUUCGGGCCUUGCGCUAAUGGAUGAGCCUAAGUCGGAUUAGCUAGUUGGUGGGGUAAAGGCCUACCAAGGCGACGAUCUGUAGCGGGUCUGAGAGGAUGAUCCGCCACACUGGGACUGAGACACGGCCCAGACUCCUACGGGAGGCAGCAGUGGGGAAUAUUGGACAAUGGGGGGAACCCUGAUCCAGCCAUGCCGCGUGUGUGAAGAAGGCCUUUUGGUUGUAAAGCACUUUAAGCGAGGAGGAGGCUACCGAGAUUAAUACUCUUGGAUAGUGGACGUUACUCGCAGAAUAAGCACCGGCUAACGCUGUGCCAGCAGCCGCGGUAAUACAGAGGGUGCAAGCGUUAAUCGGAUUUACUGGGCGUAAAGCGCGCGUAGGUGGCCAAUUAAGUCAAAUGUGAAAUCCCCGAGCUUAACUUGGGAAUUGCAUUCGAUACUGGUUGGCUAGAGUAUGGGAGAGGAUGGUAGAAUUCCAGGU
Molecule: ribosomal RNA, 560 nt
Filed under: uncultured bacterium
Lineage: Bacteria
Description: bacterial SSU rRNA
Rfam family: Bacterial small subunit ribosomal RNA
Source: RNAcentral